Long non-coding RNA from Sorghum bicolor (sorghum), 1036 nucleotides. RefSeq lists it as uncharacterized. The record is from RefSeq and is a predicted model, not a curated record. The transcript is spliced from 2 exons. NCBI's taxonomy places the organism in Eukaryota, Viridiplantae, Streptophyta, Magnoliopsida, Poales, Poaceae.
CGCACCCGCAAAUCCGCCAAACCCGCACUGACAAGUGGGGUCACUUAAAAAGAGGUAUAUAUUCUUCAAAUUAGGGCUUCUUUCUCCCAAAUUGCCGUCCCCAGCAGCCGACUAGUGGCCGCCGCCGCCACUCGCGCGACCCUCUCCUCGCCAUCCCCAGUGCAUGUUGCUCCCCUCUUCACCGUCACAACUCACAAGCCAUGCGGCUCUUGCUCUGCUCUCCUCCACUCGGUCGCAUGCGCGGGCUCUGCUCUCCUCCACUCGGUCGCGUGAGCGGUCGCAUGCUGCUCCUGCUCUUUCUCCACUCGCGGCGACCGGAGACACCCACCGCCAGACCCUCACCGUCACCCACGCGACUCGACUUUUGCUCCUCCACUCGUGGCGGCGCGUCGCGCCUCCCUACUUGCGCCGUGGUCAAGCUGCUCUGCACCGGUUUACUUCACGCCGGCGCACAUCCUCGUCCUCGUCAAGCUGCCUUCCCUGUCCAGUUGCCUUUCGCCGCCAGAUCUGGCGGGCACGCGGGCACACCCGCGGGCAAGGAAUGCCCGCGGAUGGCGGGCGCGGGCACAGGAUGGCGCCCGUGACGGAUGACGGGCGCGGAUACAGGCACGCAAGUUUGCUCGCGGGUGCGGGCAUGCGGCACUAGUAUCCGCGGGCAUUGUGCCCGUUGCCAUUUUUAAUGCCAGGGCUCACGGCGCCGUCCCAGUACGCGGAGGAGCCGCCGCGUCACCCGGCCCUCGAGAUCAACGCCAAGCGUGAAGCUGCAACGAAGGAGAUUGUCUGACUGGUGCCUUGUGGUGGUGGGUAAAGUUUUUUUCGGCCCUCAAAGACAUAUGUUUCUAUUUUUUUAUUUAUUGAAAUUCACAUUGAGAAAUAUACAAAUACACAUCUUAAUACAAAAUUGUAUUAGAAAUAUGUAUUUGAACAUUUCUCAAUGCAAAUCUAAUGGGUGGAAGAGUGGAAGCAUAUACCCUUAAGGGUAGAAAAACCAUAUUCCCUUGUGGUGUUGCCAAUCACACGGAUUCUUUUGCGACUC